AAAAUAACUUAUAAAGGUACUCUUGCUAGUAAGCAAUAAACUAAAAUUAGUCAAACACAAAAAGAGUGAUGUUUGUUAAAUAAAUUGUUCUCAAAUUAAAUGUAUGUUUAAAAGAGCAUGUAGGUAGUCUGAAAAACUCAAAAUGUUCGACAGGCCUGUAUAGUAGAACACUGCAUUACAAAUGUUAACGAACAUGAAAAUAUCCUAAAAUUACUACAUAUGUAGGUGCACCCUUAAACAACAAAAAAUUUACAGUACUACCAAACUCUUAAAAACUCUUCCAGCAGUUAAAAUCCUGUUAAUAAUGAUAAAGAAACUUUUACUUUCAGUAACACUUUUACUUAUAUACAUAUAAUUGAGUUUUUUUUAUGUGUAUGCCCCACCCCUUAGCUUAAGUAUAAAAGUCCUUACUUUAAUUUGAUUUUAGUUAUAUUUUUUGUGUUCUUGAAAAUGACCAAUUUGUUCGAAACAAUUAAAUGAAUUAAUGUAUUACCUGCAGGUUUUUUAUUUUGUGUUUAUCUUUGUACAUGUAUUGAUUAACAAAUUUGUUUAAGUAGAUAGUCAACCAACUACAAGCAACGGUUAUGUGAGGCCACUGUUAGUAACACAAAUACCGGGUUGGAACGGUCCGGCGUCCGUAAGUUACCCGAACACACCCCAACAUUCGUUCUUACAGUCACCCGAUCCAGGCAGAGAUACUCCAUCCGUUGCCAGCAGGUAUGGAAAUUACGGCGCUAACGUCUGCUAAUAUGAACUUUCCACGUGCUCCGUUUUGUUUUUAAA
Molecule: long non-coding RNA, 783 nt
Organism: Agrilus planipennis (emerald ash borer)
Lineage: Eukaryota; Metazoa; Arthropoda; Insecta; Coleoptera; Buprestidae
Exons: 2
Source: RefSeq, a predicted model, not a curated record